Molecule: ribosomal RNA, 253 nt
Filed under: uncultured bacterium
Lineage: Bacteria
Description: partial 16S ribosomal RNA
Rfam family: Bacterial small subunit ribosomal RNA
Source: RNAcentral
UACGGAGGGUGCAAGCGUUAUCCGGAAUCACUGGGUUUAAAGGGUGCGUAGGCGGUUUAAUAAGUCAGUGGUGAAAGGCCGUAGCUUAACUAUGGGACUGCCAUUGAUACUGUUAGACUUGAAUCAGGCUGAGGUUGGCGGAAUGUGGCAUGUAGCGGUGAAAUGCUUAGAUAUGCCAUGGAACAUCGAUUGCGAAGGCAGCUGACUGGACCUAGAUUGACGCUGAGGCACGAAAGCAUGGGGAGCGAACAGG